Long non-coding RNA from Manis javanica (Malayan pangolin), 338 nucleotides. RefSeq lists it as uncharacterized. NCBI's taxonomy places the organism in Eukaryota, Metazoa, Chordata, Mammalia, Pholidota, Manidae. The record is from RefSeq and is a predicted model, not a curated record.
GGCCUGCUGCCCCCCGGGGGGCCCUGCCACCCCAGUGUUCAGACCACCUGUUCAGUAAUCUGCACGUUGGUUAGGCUGGGCUCGGACAGCGGCGCAGGGACGCGGGCAACCCCGGACCGGCUGCCACCUCCCAAGGAAUCGGUGAAUCCUGGUGCCUCCAGGAGGGGACAUGAGAAGCUGGACUCCCAGGUGGCCGGGAGGUAGCCAGGGUGGCUUCAGCAUCACGUCCCACGUGGCUCUGAUCAUCACAGGGCCUUCCGGGCUGGGAGAUCCGACCAUGGGACAGCUGCUCACCAUGAAAAUUCCACUCACCCUGGGUGGCCCCUGACCUACUCCAG